This 452-nucleotide ribosomal RNA is filed under the name uncultured bacterium. RNAcentral describes it as "partial 16S ribosomal RNA". It matches the Rfam family "Bacterial small subunit ribosomal RNA", at positions 28 to 507 of the family's 1533-position model. The record is from RNAcentral.
GAUGAACGCUGGUGGCGUGCCUAACACAUGCAAGUCGAGCGAUUCUCUUCGGAGAAGAGCGGCGGACGGGUGAGUAACGCGUGGGUAACCUGCCCUGUACACACGGAUAACAUACCGAAAGGUAUGCUAAUACGAGAUAACAUGCUUUUAUCGCAUGGUAGAAGUAUCAAAGCUUUUGCGGUACAGGAUGGACCCGCGUCUGAUUAGCUAGUUGGUGAGGUAACGGCUCACCAAGGCGACGAUCAGUAGCCGACCUGAGAGGGUGAUCGGCCACAUUGGAACUGAGACACGGUCCAAACUCCUACGGGAGGCAGCAGUGGGGAAUAUUGCACAAUGGGCGAAAGCCUGAUGCAGCAACGCCGCGUGAGCGAUGAAGGCCUUCGGGUCGUAAAGCUCUAUCCUCAAGGAAGAUAAUGACGGUACUUGAGGAGGAAGCCCCGGCUAACUACGUG